GUUUYUGACCUAUCAGCUUUAGACGGUAGGGUAUUGGCCUACCGUGGCUAUGACGGGUAACGGGGAAUUAGGGUUCGAUUCCGGAGAGGGAGCCUGAGAAACGGCUACCACAUCUAAGGAAGGCAGCAGGCGCGCAAAUUACCCAAUCCUAAUACAGGGAGGUAGUGACAAGAAAUAACAAUACAGGACUUUACGGUUUUGUAAUUGGAAUGAGUUAAGUAUAAACCCCUUUACAAGUAUCAAUUGGAGGGCAAGUCUGGUGCCAGCAGCCGCGGUAAUUCCAGCUCCAAUAGCGUAUAUUAAAGUUGUUGCAGUUAAAAAGCUCGUAGUUGGAUUUCUGUUAAUACCUUAUAUAUAAUAUUUUUUUUUAAAUAUUAUUAAGUAAAAUUAACAUAAUUUAUAUUUUUUAAGACUGAAUUUUUAGUUUUGAUAAUAUGAAAUUUUACUUUGAGAAAAUUAGAGUGCUUAAAGCAGGCUUUUGCCUUGAAUACUCCAGCAUGGAAUAAUAAUAAAAGAUUUUUAUCUUUUUUUUAUUGGUUCUAAAAUAAAAAUAAUGAUUAAUAGGGACAGUUGGGGGCAUUUGUAUUUAACAGUCAGAGGUGAUAUUCUUAGAUUUGUUAAAGACAAACUAAUGCGAAAGCAUUUGCCAAGGAUGUUUUCAUUAAUCAAGAACGAAAG
RNAcentral lists this ribosomal RNA (678 nucleotides) under Cryptosporidium felis. RNAcentral describes it as "partial 18S ribosomal RNA". It matches the Rfam family "Eukaryotic small subunit ribosomal RNA", at positions 305 to 1000 of the family's 1831-position model. Lineage: Eukaryota; Apicomplexa; Conoidasida; Eucoccidiorida; Cryptosporidiidae. The record is from RNAcentral.